Molecule: ribosomal RNA, 404 nt
Filed under: uncultured bacterium
Lineage: Bacteria
Description: partial 16S ribosomal RNA
Rfam family: Bacterial small subunit ribosomal RNA
Source: RNAcentral
GACGAACGCUGGCGGCGUGCUUAACACAUGCAAGUCGAGCGGAGCGGCGAACGGGUGAGUAACGCGUGAGUAACUGCCCCCCUCUCUGGGAUAACAGUUGGAAACGGCUGCUAAUACCGGAUAGUGGGGGAUGACUCGCGUCCUAUCAGCUUGUUGGUGGGGUAGUGGCCUACCAAGGCGACGACGGGUAGCCGGCCUGAGCGGGCGACCGGCCACAUUGGGCUGGGGUACCGCCCCAAAUCCUUGCGGGGGCAGGCGGGGGGGAUUUUGCCCAAUGGGGGAAACUCUGAUGCAGGAACCCGCGGGCGGGAUGACGGCCUUCGGGUUGUAAACCGCUUUCAGCCAAGACGCGGGAGUGGCAGAAGAAGCACCGGCUAACUACGUGCCAGCAGCCGCGGUAAUUC